RNAcentral lists this non-coding RNA (26 nucleotides) under Homo sapiens (human). The record is from RNAcentral. Lineage: Eukaryota; Metazoa; Chordata; Mammalia; Primates; Hominidae.
UAAGCUCUUGGACGAGGUUCACUGGU